RNAcentral lists this ribosomal RNA (256 nucleotides) under uncultured bacterium. Its description in RNAcentral is "partial 16S ribosomal RNA". It matches the Rfam family "Bacterial small subunit ribosomal RNA", at positions 77 to 334 of the family's 1533-position model. The record is from RNAcentral.
CAAUACUUCGCCGGCGACCGGCGCACGGGUGAGUAACACGUGUGCAACCAACCCCGUACCGGGAGAUAACCCGCGGAAACGUGGACUAACAUCCCAUAAUACUGGAGGAUCGCAUGAUCUUUCACUUAAAAUUCCGGUGGUACGGGACGGGCACGCGCGACAUUAGGUAGUUGGCGGGGUAACGGCCCACCAAGCCGACGAUGUCUAGGGGUUCUGAGAGGAAGGUCCCCCACACUGGAACUGAGACACGGUCCAG